UAGGAUAGAGGCCUACCAUGGUGGUAACGGGUAACGGGGUGUUAGAGCACGACACCGGAGAGGGAGCCUGAGAAACGGCUACCACAUCCAAGGAUGGCAGCAGGCGCGCAAAUUACCCAAUCCCGACACGGGGAGGUAGUGACAAUAAAUAACAAUACGGGGUUCUUUCGGAUCUCGUAAUUGGAAUGAGUACAAUUUAAAUCUCUUAACGAGGAACAAUUGGAGGGCAAGUCUGGUGCCAGCAGCCGCGGUAAUUCCAGCUCCAAUAGCGUAUAUUAAAGUUGUUGCAGUUAAAAAGCUCGUAGUUGAAUUUCGGGGUUAGUAGGUUGGUCAUGCCUCUGGUAUGUACUGGUCUCACUGAUUCCUCCUUCCUUAUGAACCGUAAUGCCAUUAAUUUGGUGUUGCGGGGAAUUUGGACUGUUACUUUGAAAAAAUUAGAGUGUUUAAAGCAAGCUAACGCUUGAAUACAUUAGCAUGGAAUAAUGAAAUAGGACGUUCGAUCUUAUUUUGUUGGUUUCUAGGAUUGACGCAAUGAUUAAUAGGGAUAGUUGGGGGCAUUAGUAUUCAAUUGUCAGAGGUGAAAUUCUUGGAUUUAUUGAAGACUAACUACUGCGAAAGCAUUUGCCAAGGAUGUUUUCAUUAAUCAAGAACGUAAGUUAGGGGAUCGAAGACGAUCAGAUACCGUCGUAGUCUUAACCAUAAACUAUGCCGACUAGG
This 717-nucleotide ribosomal RNA is filed under the name uncultured fungus. RNAcentral's name for it is "SSU rRNA". It matches the Rfam family "Eukaryotic small subunit ribosomal RNA", at positions 329 to 1050 of the family's 1831-position model. Lineage: Eukaryota; Fungi. The record is from RNAcentral.